UUCCCUGUAGCUCAGUUGGUAGAGCAUGGUGUUUGCAACGCGUUUGCAACGCCAGGGUUGUGGGUUCGAUUCCCAUGGGGGAGC
Non-coding RNA from Salmo salar (Atlantic salmon), 84 nucleotides. Lineage: Eukaryota; Metazoa; Chordata; Actinopteri; Salmoniformes; Salmonidae. The record is from Rfam.